Molecule: ribosomal RNA, 440 nt
Filed under: uncultured bacterium
Lineage: Bacteria
Description: partial 16S ribosomal RNA
Rfam family: Bacterial small subunit ribosomal RNA
Source: RNAcentral
CCUACGGGAGGCAGCAGUGGGGAAUAUUGGACAAUGGGGGAAACCCUGAUCCAGCGACGCCGCGUGAGUGAAGAAGUAUUUCGGUACGUAAAGCUCUAUCAGCAGGAAAGAAAAUGACGUUACCUGACUAAGAAGCCCCGGCUAACUACGUGCCAGCAGCCGCGGUAAUACGUAGGGGGCAAGCGUUAUCCGGAUUUACUGGGUGUAAAGGGAGCGUAGACGGCAGCGCAAGUCUGGAGUGAAAUGCCGGGGCUCAACCCCGGAACUGCUCUGGAAACUGUGAAGCUGGAGUGCAGGGGAGGUAGGCGGAAUUCCUGGUGUAGCGAUGAAAUGCGUAGAUAUCAGGAGGAACACCGACGGCGAAGGCAGCUUACUGGACUGUAACUGACGUUGAGGCUCGAAGGCGUGGGGAGCAAACAGGAUUAGAUACCCUAGUAGUC